Molecule: ribosomal RNA, 2801 nt
Filed under: Campylobacter jejuni
Lineage: Bacteria; Pseudomonadati; Campylobacterota; Epsilonproteobacteria; Campylobacterales; Campylobacteraceae
Description: partial 23S ribosomal RNA
Rfam family: Bacterial large subunit ribosomal RNA
Source: RNAcentral
UGCACUGGGGGUUGUAGGACUGCAAUGUGCAAGAGGUAAGUUUAGCAGAACAUUCUGGAAAGUAUAACCAUAGAGGGUGAUAGUCCCGUAUGCGAAAAACAAACCUUAGCUAGCAGUAUCCUGAGUAGGGCGGGACACGAGGAAUCCUGUCUGAAUCCGGGUCGACCACGAUCCAACCCUAAAUACUAAUACCAGAUCGAUAGUGCACAAGUACCGUGAGGGAAAGGUGAAAAGAACUGAGGUGAUCAGAGUGAAAUAGAACCUGAAACCAUUUGCUUACAAUCAUUCAGAGCCCUAUGUAGCAAUACAGGGUGAUGGACUGCCUUUUGCAUAAUGAGCCUGCGAGUUGUGGUGUCUGGCAAGGUUAAGCAAACGCGAAGCCGUAGCGAAAGCGAGUCUGAAUAGGGCGCUUAGUCAGAUGCUGCAGACCCGAAACGAAGUGAUCUAUCCAUGAGCAAGUUGAAGCUAGUGUAAGAACUAGUGGAGGACUGAACCCAUAGGCGUUGAAAAGCCCCGGGAUGACUUGUGGAUAGGGGUGAAAGGCCAAUCAAACUUCGUGAUAGCUGGUUCUCUCCGAAAUAUAUUUAGGUAUAGCGUUGUGUCGUAAUAUAAGGGGGUAGAGCACUGAAUGGGCUAGGGCAUACACCAAUGUACCAAACCCUAUCAAACUCCGAAUACCUUAUAUGUAAUCACAGCAGUCAGGCGGCGAGUGAUAAAAUCCGUCGUCAAGAGGGAAACAACCCAGACUACCAGCUAAGGUCCCUAAAUCUUACUUAAGUGGAAAACGAUGUGAAGUUACUUAAACAACCAGGAGGUUGGCUUAGAAGCAGCCAUCCUUUAAAGAAAGCGUAAUAGCUCACUGGUCUAGUGAUUUUGCGCGGAAAAUAUAACGGGGCUAAAGUAAGUACCGAAGCUGUAGACUUGCACACAACUUAGAUUAUUUAAGUUUAGAAUAUGAGAAACUAAGUUAUAUGUUUAGUUAUAUUUUUACUGAUUUUUAUAGAGUAAAGAUAGAAAUAAAACUUAGUAAAAUCAGUAAAAAUAUUCUUAGACUAAAGUUAAGUAGUUUAAGUUGUGUGCAAGUGGUAGGAGAGCGUUCUAUUUGCGUCGAAGGUAUACCGGUAAGGAGUGCUGGAGCGAAUAGAAGUGAGCAUGCAGGCAUGAGUAGCGAUAAUUAAUGUGAGAAUCAUUAACGCCGUAAACCCAAGGUUUCCUACGCGAUGCUCGUCAUCGUAGGGUUAGUCGGGUCCUAAGUCGAGUCCGAAAGGGGUAGACGAUGGCAAAUUGGUUAAUAUUCCAAUACCAACAUUAGUGUGCGAUGGAAGGACGCUUAGGGCUAAGGGGGCUAGCGGAUGGAAGUGCUAGUCUAAGGUCGUAGGAGGUUAUACAGGCAAAUCCGUAUAACAAUACUCCGAGAACUGAAAGGCUUUUUGAAGUCUUCGGAUGGAUAGAAGAACCCCUGAUGCCGUCGAGCCAAGAAAAGUUUCUAAGUUUAGCUAAUGUUGCCCGUACCGUAAACCGACACAGGUGGGUGGGAUGAGUAUUCUAAGGCGCGUGGAAGAACUCUCUUUAAGGAACUCUGCAAAAUAGCACCGUAUCUUCGGUAUAAGGUGUGGUUAGCUUUGUAUUAGGAUUUACUCCGAAAGCAAGGAAACUUACAACAAAGAGUCCCUCCCGACUGUUUACCAAAAACACAGCACUCUGCUAACUCGUAAGAGGAUGUAUAGGGUGUGACGCCUGCCCGGUGCUCGAAGGUUAAUUGAUGGGGUUAGCAUUAGCGAAGCUCUUGAUCGAAGCCCGAGUAAACGGCGGCCGUAACUAUAACGGUCCUAAGGUAGCGAAAUUCCUUGUCGGUUAAAUACCGACCUGCAUGAAUGGCGUAACGAGAUGGGAGCUGUCUCAAAGAGGGAUCCAGUGAAAUUGUAGUGGAGGUGAAAAUUCCUCCUACCCGCGGCAAGACGGAAAGACCCCGUGGACCUUUACUACAGCUUGACACUGCUACUUGGAUAAGAAUGUGCAGGAUAGGUGGGAGGCUUUGAGUAUAUGACGCCAGUUGUAUAUGAGCCAUUGUUGAGAUACCACUCUUUCUUAUUUGGGUAGCUAACCAGCUUGAGUUAUCCUCAAGUGGGACAAUGUCUGGUGGGUAGUUUGACUGGGGCGGUCGCCUCCCAAAUAAUAACGGAGGCUUACAAAGGUUGGCUCAGAACGGUUGGAAAUCGUUCGUAGAGUAUAAAGGUAUAAGCCAGCUUAACUGCAAGACAUACAAGUCAAGCAGAGACGAAAGUCGGUCUUAGUGAUCCGGUGGUUCUGUGUGGAAGGGCCAUCGCUCAAAGGAUAAAAGGUACCCCGGGGAUAACAGGCUGAUCUCCCCCAAGAGCUCACAUCGACGGGGAGGUUUGGCACCUCGAUGUCGGCUCAUCGCAUCCUGGGGCUGGAGCAGGUCCCAAGGGUAUGGCUGUUCGCCAUUUAAAGCGGUACGCGAGCUGGGUUCAGAACGUCGUGAGACAGUUCGGUCCCUAUCUGCCGUGGGCGUAAGAAGAUUGAAGAGAUUUGACCCUAGUACGAGAGGACCGGGUUGAACAAACCACUGGUGUAGCUGUUGUUCUGCCAAGAGCAUCGCAGCGUAGCUAAGUUUGGAAAGGAUAAACGCUGAAAGCAUCUAAGCGUGAAGCCAACUCUAAGAUGAAUCUUCUCUAAGCUCUCUAGAAGACUACUAGUUUGAUAGGCUGGGUGUGUAAUGGAUGAAAGUCCUUUAGCUGACCAGUACUAAUAGAGCGUUUGGCUUAUCUUUAAUAAAGCAU